This is a long non-coding RNA of Rosa chinensis, 563 nucleotides long. RefSeq lists it as uncharacterized. The transcript has 3 exons. The record is from RefSeq and is a predicted model, not a curated record. NCBI's taxonomy places the organism in Eukaryota, Viridiplantae, Streptophyta, Magnoliopsida, Rosales, Rosaceae.
CAUUUUUCACGUGAAAAACAGAUCAAGGAGAGAGAGAAAACGAGCUCUAGCCCUUGCCGCUCAUAUUUUCCGUCCCCGGCGCCGAUUCCGGCCAAAUUCGGCCACAAUUCUUAUACUAAUCUCUUCCUUACCUCAUGGGCUUCCUAUCUACAUAAGUUUCAAGACCUAUUAUCAAUUGUGCGUGACGAAUCGAAGGGGGAAGAUUGGGUGGUUUUCCGGCUAUUUUCUGAAUUCCGGCCAAACCAUUGAGAAUUUGGAGAAAUCCUAAGGUAAUCUAGUUGAGCAAGCUUCCGAAGACAUUCCCGAGAUGGGACUCACCUAGUCACCCUUAUUGUAGUACAUUUCACUGAGGUCGGACCGCACCACGUUGAUGCAUUCUCCUUAUCCACCAUCAUCCAUCUCGACUUGUAGGAUUUGUUCCCUUUCGUACUCUUAUAUUUCUUACCUAAUUGGACCGUGUAACUUAUGCUCUGAUGUAACCAUAAAUUGACUAUUGGAUUCCUAAGAUGCAAUUGUUGGGUUAUAACCCCUUGCUUUGGUUGGUGGUGGAUGUUUUUGUGAAG